This 816-nucleotide ribosomal RNA is filed under the name Pedobacter roseus. RNAcentral's name for it is "bacterial SSU rRNA". It matches the Rfam family "Bacterial small subunit ribosomal RNA", at positions 344 to 1163 of the family's 1533-position model. The record is from RNAcentral. Lineage: Bacteria; Pseudomonadati; Bacteroidota; Sphingobacteriia; Sphingobacteriales; Sphingobacteriaceae.
GGAGGCAGCAGUAAGGAAUAUUGGUCAAUGGAGGCAACUCUGAACCAGCCAUGCCGCGUGCAGGAAGACUGCCCUAUGGGUUGUAAACUGCUUUUAUCCGGGAAUAAACCACAUUACGUGUAGUGUGCUGAAUGUACCGGAAGAAUAAGGAUCGGCUAACUCCGUGCCAGCAGCCGCGGUAAUACGGAGGAUCCAAGCGUUAUCCGGAUUUAUUGGGUUUAAAGGGUGCGUAGGCGGCCUGUUAAGUCAGGGGUGAAAGACGGUAGCUCAACUAUCGCAGUGCCCUUGAUACUGAUGGGCUUGAAUGGACUAGAGGUAGGCGGAAUGAGACAAGUAGCGGUGAAAUGCAUAGAUAUGUCUCAGAACACCGAUUGCGAAGGCAGCUUACUAUGGUCUUAUUGACGCUGAGGCACGAAAGCGUGGGGAUCAAACAGGAUUAGAUACCCUGGUAGUCCACGCCCUAAACGAUGAACACUCGCUGUUGGCGAUACACAGUCAGCGGCUAAGCGAAAGCGUUAAGUGUUCCACCUGGGGAGUACGCCCGCAAGGGUGAAACUCAAAGGAAUUGACGGGGGCCCGCACAAGCGGAGGAGCAUGUGGUUUAAUUCGAUGAUACGCGAGGAACCUUACCCGGGCUUGAAAGUUAGUGAAUGAUCUAGAGAUAGAUCAGUCCGCAAGGACACGAAACUAGGUGCUGCAUGGCUGUCGUCAGCUCGUGCCGUGAGGUGUUGGGUUAAGUCCCGCAACGAGCGCAACCCCUAUGUUUAGUUGCCAGCACGUUAUGGUGGGGACUCUAAACAGACUGCCUGUGCAAAC